UAUGUUACACCUCGGAAACCAGUGCAACUCCAAUCUUGUCAUGGCCCAAAGAGCCAGGUCGUGACAAUAUGGAAAAGACUUUUGCAUAUAGAAGACAUGAGGUUGUGCGUGAUGCACCGAUGGUAGAUUAUUUCAUGGCAAGAUGGCCUGCUUUGUUCGAAGUCAGUGAGGUAAGGCUGAUCUCAUGCUGUUUUUGUUUUUUUUGUACUGUCAAAUUGCUAUUAUACAUAAUAGUACAUCAUGUUAUGUCUAUGCCUCAUCUUACUCUAUUGUCCUGCUUUUGCUUUUGUGUGAUGGUGACAGUUCUGUGCUUUUUUUAGAUCAACGCUGAAUUCAGAGAAUUCCCACCGUUCCCCUUCAGUCCAGUCUCAGCUAGACCUCCACUCUGACAAUCUGACAAGGCUGUUCCAAAAGAGGGGAGGAAAUCUAGGGGAAAAGCUCAAAACAGUCACUGCACAAGUUGCUAAUUGUGAUGAUGUGGAUCAUUAAAGGACUCUGUGUCUACAUGGGCGAAGAUCCAGUUAACCUUCUACAUGAAUAUGUGAGCCUGGGUAACCACACCAUCAAUGAGGCCAUUGAAGACACCACUGUUAGGAUGUUCUUUGACAACAAAGAUCCCUCCAGUGAUGAAGUAGAGGACAUUGGUAUUGUUCUUGAACCUCAACUACCUUCAUGUAAGAACCAUUAUUGUCCUUGCAAAUGUAGAUCUUGUGCUUAAACUAAAUUUGGUUUUGAAAAUAAAGUAAUACAAUUAAGUAA
Non-coding RNA from Gasterosteus aculeatus aculeatus (three-spined stickleback), 759 nucleotides. Lineage: Eukaryota; Metazoa; Chordata; Actinopteri; Perciformes; Gasterosteidae. The record is from RefSeq and is a predicted model, not a curated record.